AGGCGCUGAGGAGAAGCGGGUGCUCUUCCCGGAGGAGCCAGGAAGGAAAACCGCAGGUGCCGGUGCCGGGCUUUCCUCCCGGGUGGUGUGUCACCCCGGCGGCUCUCGGUUCUCCUUUCCUGGCGCCGGGUGGCUAAGUUCAGGGAAGGGCAGGGGCCGGGCCGGGCGGAGCCUGUGACCGGGUUUCCCUCAGGACGCGGGGGGAGAAGCCGCCCGAGUCUCCAGAAAGAUGCAGUUCUUCGGUCGGCUGGUGAAUACCAUCAGCAGCGUCACCCAAAUAUUCACAAACCCUUACCGGGUGAAGGAGGUGCCGGCUGCGGAGUAUGCCGCUCAUACGUGCCUGAGGGAGGAAGGCAGGGUGGCCCUGUAUAAGAACAGCUAUGCUCGCUCAUGGGAUUGCCUGCUGGUGAAUCCCCAGAGUCCACAGGUCGCUUUCCGGCUCUUCCAGCUGGACAAUGAAGCAGAUGCCCUGAUGCGUUUUGAGCAGUAUGCCAGGCAGCUGCACCCUUUCUACAAGAGCUCGCGCCAGCCCUUGUCGCUGGAGGAUCUCCAGCAGCUCAGUGACUGCUUCCGCAACCACCCCAGCUGGUCCUUGGCACAUGUCGCGGUGGAGAUGGGCCAUCGUGAGAGCUUCCGGCACAACCACGUUCUGAGCUGCGUGAACAGCACGGACAGCGAGGAUGGCUGCACCCCGCUGCACCUGGCGUGCCUCAAGGGAGACAUGGAGUGCCUGCUGGAGCUGCUGGAGUGCCACGCGCGGGUGGACAUUACUGACAGGAACGGGGAGACUGUUUUCCACUAUGCUGUGCGAGGGAACAGCCCCCAGACCAUCGAGCUCCUGGGCAGAACCCCAACUGCUGGCUUGGACCACCUGAGCCAUGAGGGGCUGACCGCUCUGCAUCUCGCUUGUCAGCUGGGCAAAGAGGACAUGGUUCGGUCUCUGCUGAAAUGCCAUGCCAGCUGCAGUGUCAUGGGGACGCUGGGCUACCCCAUCCACACGGCACUGAAGUUCUCCCAGAAGGGGUGUGCCCAGGCCAUCCUCGAGGUGGAUGCCAGCCAGGUUCGCUCCAAGGACCCGCGCUAUGAAGCCACUCCUCUGCACUGGGCGAAGAAAGCAGAGAUGACACGGCUGCUGCUUGAGUACGGCUCUGAGGUGAACUUGACCAGCCGGACGGCUGACAUGGCUCUGCACAUUGCGGUCAAGAGGGGACGCUUUGACUGUGCCAUGGUACUGUUGACAACCGGCGCCCACACCAAUGCCAGGGGUCAGGAUGGCAACACACCACUGCACCUGGCCAUGAAGCAUGACCACCUGGAUAUGAUCAAAGCGAUUGUUGUGUUUGGAGGAGAUGUCGAGAUCCCCAAUGAUUUCGGGGAGACACCAGGACUGUUGGCAGCCAGGAGCAGCAAAGGUGCGAACCGGAAAGUGCUCUUAGACCUGCUGCAAACUGUAGGGACCGAACGCUGCCACCCACCCAAUCCCGACUCCCCAAGCCUGGCACCAUCUGCCGCCUCCUUCUUCCUGGAAGGCCACCCUUCCUCGCGGAGCAGCGUCAACAGCUUAGGGUACAAGGACCUUCUGUAUGUUUCCACAACGCUCGGACAGUUGUUGAAAGCACCAGAUGUUGUGGACUCGCCCAGUGAGGGUAGAAGAAAUCACGACCGCCUCCUGUGCCUGGAUGGAGGGGGCAUCCGGGGCCUGGUGCUCAUCCAACUCCUCCUGGCUAUCGAAAAGGCUGCGGGCCGUCCCGUUCGUGAGGUUUUUGACUGGAUCGCGGGGACCAGCACUGGGGGGAUCUUGGCCUUGGCUAUUGUACACGGGAAGUCCAUGGACUACAUGCGCUGCCUGUACUUCCGCAUGAAGGACAUGGUAUUCCGGGGGUCUCGGCCCUACGAGUCGGAGCCCCUGGAUGAGUUCUUGAAGAAGGAAUUUGGGGAAAACACCAAAAUGACAGAUGUCCAAAAACCCAAGGUUAUGGUGACAGGGACGUUGUGCGACCGGCAGCCAGCUGAGCUCCACCUUUUCCGGAAUUACCCCGUACCAGAGACAAAAACCUCCACUGAAUACAAGACAAGCGCAUCUUUCAAACCACUCACUCAGCCAGAAGACCAACUUGUAUGGCGUGCUGCCCGCUGCAGCGGUGCGGCUCCCACAUAUUUCCGGCCGAUAGGCCGCUUUCUGGAUGGUGGGCUACUAGCCAACAACCCGACCCUUGAUGCCUUGACAGAGAUCCACGAGUACAACAAGACGCUGAUCAAGAAGGGUCAGAGGCAGAAAGUAAGAAAAUUGGGGUUGGUGGUCUCCCUGGGGACAGGGAAGCCUCCGCAGGUCCAGGUGAGCUCUGUGGAUGUUUUCCGUCCCUCCAACCCUUGGGAGCUGGCGAAGACCGUCUUUGGGGCCAGGGAGCUUGGCAAGAUGGUGGUGGAUUGUUGCACUGACGCAGAUGGCCCAGCUGUGGAUCGUGCCAGGGCCUGGUGCGAGAUGACGGAUGUCCCAUAUUUCCGGCUCAGCCCGCAGCUGCACACGGAGGUGAUGUUGGAUGAGGUGAACGACACCGUGCUGGUGAAUGCUCUCUGGGACACCCAGCUUUACAUCUACCAGCAGCGGGAGCAGUUUGAGCAGCUGGUGCAACAUCUCUGCCGAUGACUGACCUGGAGGUUCCUGUUCAGCAUCUCCGUGGCAAGGAGCAGCAGACACUGCUCAGAUUUGCCCUUGAACCAAGAUGUUGAGGACACACCCAUGUAUUCCCGGACAGCUGUGAAAUGCUGACAGUUAUCUCCGUAUUGUGGCCCCAUCUCUGCUGCUGUGCUCUGUUUUGCUGCCCUGCUCUCUGACCGUACAGCCCUUCCCAGAAGCCAGAGCCCCCACCUACCUGUCUUGAGCUGUAGCAGCUGGAGUCUGUCUCCUGUCUGUGCAGCACCUCCACUGACAAAGCACCAUGCACCUUCCCACAUCACAGAAUGGGCCAAGGCCAGGUAAAGCGUCAGGGAUUACUUGGCCCACUGGGGCCAAGGUGUUUCGGAGUGUAUAGUAUGGGGAAAAGGGAUUAUUCUUCCCUCAACACGCCCGGUUUGAAGGGGAGCAGAAACGCUGCAACUUUCUGCAGUAGAUGUGAUGCAGAAUGUUGCAACUGGCCUUGGGAGAAGGGGGAACCUUUCCUGAGCCAGUUGUCUUCUGUAGCACCUUCCCCUUUCCCCUCCGAGGUGGGCUGGCAACACAGGUACUGGCUGCGCCAAGGGUGGGAGCAGACCACCCCCCCCACCCCGAGACUGUUUUGUGCCACCUGACUUGCUGUGCUACUCUUUGCUGAAGAGCUGAGAUGUGAAAGCCUGUCUUUACUUGUAGCAAGCUCAAGAUGAGGGACAAUAGCCUUGGUUUGGCAGAGAGAUCGUUUCUCUUUAUUCUUAAUGUGGAAUUGAAAUGCUCUGAGAUCAGUUCCCACUAAAGAAGCUGGCCCCGUGACAGUUUGGAUUUACUUUUUUUACUGGUGGAAAUUCCGUUGUGAAUGCUACACUACGCAAUGUUUCUGUAGUAAAUUUUCGUAUUUAUAAAUAAUUUAUGUAUCUUUGGAGGCAUUUUGAGGAGUAACCUGAAGAACUGAAUUCGUAAUCGUUUGCUUUUGACUGGAUGGACUGCUGUUGUGAGCAGUGCUUCUAUGCAGAACUAACAUGACCUGAAAUAAAGAGGUUUCCAUUUGGUUCCACUGU
RNA transcript from Pygoscelis adeliae (Adelie penguin), 3708 nucleotides. It is a transcript of the gene named phospholipase A2, group VI (cytosolic, calcium-independent), with no coding region annotated. NCBI's taxonomy places the organism in Eukaryota, Metazoa, Chordata, Aves, Sphenisciformes, Spheniscidae. The transcript is spliced from 17 exons. The record is from RefSeq and is a predicted model, not a curated record.